UAGAGAGAGCCACCGUCGACAAGACGGAGGAAGGCGGGGAUGACGUCAAAUCAUCAUGCCCCUUAUGACCUGGGCUACACACGUGCUCCAAUGGUUGGUACAACGGGAUGCUACUUCGCGAGAAGAUGCUAAUCUCUUAAAACCAAUCUCAGUUCGGAUUGUAGGCUGCAACUCGCCUACAUGAAGUCGGAAUCGCUAGUAAUCGCGGAUCAGCAUGCCGCGGUGAAUACGUUCCCGGGCCUUGUACACACCGCCCGUCACACCACGGGAGUUUGCAACACCCGAAGUCGGUGAGGUAACCGCAAGGAGCCCA
Molecule: ribosomal RNA, 313 nt
Filed under: Brevibacillus sp.
Lineage: Bacteria; Bacillati; Bacillota; Bacilli; Caryophanales; Paenibacillaceae
Description: bacterial SSU rRNA
Rfam family: Bacterial small subunit ribosomal RNA
Source: RNAcentral